CGGGGAGCAGCCCAGAGCCUGAAUCAGUGUGUGUGUUAGUGGAAGCGUCUGGAAAGGCGCGCGAUACAGGGUGACAGCCCCGUACACAAAAAUGCACAUGCUGUGAGCUCGAUGAGUAGGGCGGGACACGUGGUAUCCUGUCUGAAUAUGGGGGGACCAUCCUCCAAGGCUAAAUACUCCUGACUGACCGAUAGUGAACCAGUACCGUGAGGGAAAGGCGAAAAGAACCCCGGCGAGGGGAGUGAAAAAGAACCUGAAACCGUGUACGUACAAGCAGUGGGAGCACGCUUAGGCGUGUGACUGCGUACCUUUUGUAUAAUGGGUCAGCGACUUAUAUUCUGUAGCAAGGUUAACCGAAUAGGGGAGCCGAAGGGAAACCGAGUCUUAACUGGGCGUUAAGUUGCAGGGUAUAGACCCGAAACCCGGUGAUCUAGCCAUGGGCAGGUUGAAGGUUGGGUAACACUAACUGGAGGACCGAACCGACUAAUGUUGAAAAAUUAGCGGAUGACUUGUGGCUGGGGGUGAAAGGCCAAUCAAACCGGGAGAUAGCUGGUUCUCCCCGAAAGCUAUUUAGGUAGCGCCUCGUGAAUUCAUCUCCGGGGGUAGAGCACUGUUUCGGCAAGGGGGUCAUCCCGACUUACCAACCCGAUGCAAACUGCGAAUACCGGAGAAUGUUAUCACGGGAGACACACGGCGGGUGCUAACGUCCGUCGUGAAGAGGGAAACAACCCAGACCGCCAGCUAAGGUCCCAAAGUCAUGGUUAAGUGGGAAACGAUGUGGGAAGGCCCAGACAGCCAGGAUGUUGGCUUAGAAGCAGCCAUCAUUUAAAGAAAGCGUAAUAGCUCACUGGUCGAGUCGGCCUGCGCGGAAGAUGUAACGGGGCUAAACCAUG
Molecule: ribosomal RNA, 893 nt
Filed under: Escherichia coli
Lineage: Bacteria; Pseudomonadati; Pseudomonadota; Gammaproteobacteria; Enterobacterales; Enterobacteriaceae
Description: partial 23S ribosomal RNA
Rfam family: Bacterial large subunit ribosomal RNA
Source: RNAcentral